RNAcentral lists this ribosomal RNA (267 nucleotides) under Triticum aestivum (bread wheat). Its description in RNAcentral is "partial small subunit ribosomal RNA". The record is from RNAcentral. Lineage: Eukaryota; Viridiplantae; Streptophyta; Magnoliopsida; Poales; Poaceae.
AUGGCUUUAGUUAGAAAAUAUGGAAAACCAGACGUAUUCCUCACAAUGACCUGCAACCCCAACUGGGAAGAGAUCACACGUGAACUACACUUUGGACAAACACCACAAGAUUGCCCAGACAUUGUCGUUCGUGUUUUCAGGGCGAAGCUAGAAGAAAUGAAGAAGCAACUAUUUGAGAAGGCCAUUCUUGGAAAGGUUAAGGCAUAUACAUAUGACGUAGAGUUCCAAAAGAGGGAUUAUCCCAUGCUCACUUUUUGCUCAUCAUGA